Suricata suricatta (meerkat) is the source of this 378-nucleotide long non-coding RNA. RefSeq lists it as uncharacterized. Lineage: Eukaryota; Metazoa; Chordata; Mammalia; Carnivora; Herpestidae. The transcript is spliced from 2 exons. The record is from RefSeq and is a predicted model, not a curated record.
AGGUGUGGCUCUACAAUGUAGGUGUGGCUCUGAAUGGAGGUGUGGCUCUACAGUGGGGGCGUGGCUCUGAAUGGAGGUGUGGCUCUACAGUGGGGGCGUGGCUCUGAAUGGAGGCGUGGUCCUGGAACAAGGCCCAGCCCAGGAAACUUGAGCCAGGAAGGACAGGAGGCUCCAGACCCCAUCUCUUCCAUUUAUUUGCCUCCAAAAAUGACAAGAUGGAAAACAUUCUGGACAAGUUAGCGUUCUUCCUUCUUCUUGAAGACCACAAGAAGCCAAUUCUACGACUUUUCAUAGUCGUACAUUUCCAAGAUUUCAAGUCUAAAGAUUCAAAAGUCUUAUUGACACAACCUAAUCAAUAAACAAAUAUUUACUAACUUC